This is a long non-coding RNA of Vicia villosa (hairy vetch), 1224 nucleotides long. RefSeq lists it as uncharacterized. The transcript is spliced from 2 exons. The record is from RefSeq and is a predicted model, not a curated record. NCBI's taxonomy places the organism in Eukaryota, Viridiplantae, Streptophyta, Magnoliopsida, Fabales, Fabaceae.
GUACCAUAGUACUGAAUUUAUAUUGCAAGUGGUCAUGUGUAGUGUAGCCACUAAUACGCGUGUUGCUAGCCUUAGCUAGUAGUAUCAACUAUCAACUAGAUAUGGAAGAGAGUGUGGAUAACGCUUCUUUGUUCCCCUAUAUUCCAAACGCAUACAUUCAUUUAUCACCUCUAUGGCCAUAAGAUUGAUGACGUUAGGGUAUUAUUUUUCAUCUCGUAUUUAAUGGUCGGGGGUUCAUAUUGAUUCCUUAGUUUUAAAAAUAGUUUGUUUGGCCUCUCCAUUUUUCUAUUUGUUUGAAGUUUAUCUUUAUUUAUAGUAGUUCUUCUUCAAUCCCAUCAAGGACUUCAUCUACAACCUUGCGAAUUAGGUACAUAUAAUCAUAUUGAAAAUUGAGAUCCCUAGUACGAAUAAGGGUUCGUUACACUUCUUGUGCAUUCCAAGAACAAAAAAAAAAUGUUGUCUACAAACUCGUCUUUGUUUCCAAACUUUUUUGGUAAUGAUGGAGAAGACAGUGAUAUUACUAAAUUUAGGGUUUAUUCAUCUUCUUCAAAGAAGCAAUGGAGUCCUAGUUGUUGGUGAGAAAACUUGAUUGUGCUUUGAAGGGAAACACGAAUUAAGAGUUUUAGAAAGUAAAUUUAGGAAUGUCCACACUAUAAGGUUAUGAUUUUGAUGAAAAGGCGUGGCCAAAACAUCAGAAGCCACCAGGUUAUGUGUCCGCGCUACAUACGUUCUAAUGAACAGUAGAAACCACUUCAGAAGCAGAAGCAUCUGAAGUCAUCACUCUGUUACGAAGUCUGAAUAAACCAGUUCUGAAGACCACGUGUUGUAAGACUCUGAAGACGUAGUUCUGAAGACUUGAAGCUCUGAAGACUUAAGUUUCUGAAGACAGAGGAUUCUGAAGACCAAGUGCUGAAUACUCUAAAGAUGUGACUCUGAAGACUUGAAGUUCUAAAGAAUUCAAAGCUUUUCUCUUUUCUUCCAACUCAUGUUGUGAGCCUCUGAAGUUCAAUAAAGAAGAAGAUAAUGUACUAUGUAGUACAAGGUACAAAUGAAUGUUUCGUUCCACUACCAAGAAAGGAAGGGCGUUGCAUAAUAUCUUGUCCCUCACUACGUUCAAGCCUCCAAACUUCUGAAAGUUUCAGAACUGUCCUCCAACAGAUAUACUAUUGUAUUAGUUAUAUAAAGGCUUAAAGACUCAAAGAAGAAGCUGCCAAUUCACGAUCA